UACAGAGGGUGCGAGCGUUGUUCGGAUUUACUGGGCGUAAAGAGCGCGCAGGCGGUCGAUCAAGUCGAGUGUGAAAGCCCCCGGCUCAACUGGGGAGGGUCAUUCGAUACUGAUCGACUCGAAGGCAGGAGAGGGUAGUGGAAUUCCCGGUGUAGUGGUGAAAUGCGUAGAUAUCGGGAGGAACACCAGUGGCGAAGGCGACUACCUGGCCUGUUCUUGACGCUGAGGCGCGAAAGCUAGGGGAGCAAACGGG
Molecule: ribosomal RNA, 253 nt
Filed under: uncultured bacterium
Lineage: Bacteria
Description: partial 16S ribosomal RNA
Rfam family: Bacterial small subunit ribosomal RNA
Source: RNAcentral